GGGAGGCAGCAGUGGGGAAUAUUGGUCAAUGGGGGCAACCCUGAACCAGCCAUGCCGCGUGAAGGAAGAAGGUCCUAAGGAUUGUAAACUUCUUUUGUACUGGGGUAAUUGUUCGAUCGUGAUCGGACUUGAAAGUACUGUACGAAUAAGCAUCGGCUAACUCCGUGCCAGCAGCCGCGGUAAUACGGAGGAUGCGAGCGUUAUCCGGAUUUAUUGGGUUUAAAGGGUGCGUAGGCGGACCUGUAAGUCAGUGGUGAAAGACUGUCGCUUAACGAUAGCAUUGCCAUUGAUACUGCAGAUCUUGAGUAUAAUUGAGGUAGGCGGAAUGUGUAGUGUAGCGGUGAAAUGCUUAGAUAUUACACAGAACACCGAUUGCGAAGGCAGCUUACUAAACUAUAACUGACGCUGAGGCACGAAAGCGUGGGGAUCAAACAGGAUUAGAUACCCCGGU
This 451-nucleotide ribosomal RNA is filed under the name uncultured bacterium. Its description in RNAcentral is "bacterial SSU rRNA". It matches the Rfam family "Bacterial small subunit ribosomal RNA", at positions 343 to 791 of the family's 1533-position model. The record is from RNAcentral.